UACAGAGGGUGCGAGCGUUAAUCGGAAUUACUGGGCGUAAAGCGCACGUAGGCGGCUUGGUAUGUCGGGUGUGAAAUCCCCGGGCUCAACCUGGGAACUGCAUCCGAAACUGCCUUGCUCGAGUAUGGGAGAGGGAAGUGGAAUUUCCGGUGUAGCGGUGAAAUGCGUAGAUAUCGGGAGGAACACCAGUGGCGAAGGCGGCCCGCUGGGCUGUGGCUGACGCUGAGGCGCGACAGCGUGGGGAGCAAACAGG
RNAcentral lists this ribosomal RNA (253 nucleotides) under uncultured bacterium. RNAcentral's name for it is "partial 16S ribosomal RNA". It matches the Rfam family "Bacterial small subunit ribosomal RNA", at positions 524 to 776 of the family's 1533-position model. The record is from RNAcentral.